RNAcentral lists this ribosomal RNA (147 nucleotides) under Triticum aestivum (bread wheat). RNAcentral describes it as "partial small subunit ribosomal RNA". Lineage: Eukaryota; Viridiplantae; Streptophyta; Magnoliopsida; Poales; Poaceae. The record is from RNAcentral.
AUGUCGAGUUGGGCUCAAACAUGGAGAUAUAUCGUUUGUGUCCGAGAAAGAGCUAGGUCAACCGAGACAUACAAAGAGAGAGAGAGAAAGAGAGAGAGAGAGAGGGAGAGCGAGAGAGAGGGAGAGAGAGAGAUUGAGCGAGCGUAG